AUUGAACGCUGGCGGAAUGCUUUACACAUGCAAGUCGAACGGCAGCACGGGGGCAACCCUGGUGGCGAGUGGCGAACGGGUGAGUAAUACAUCGGAACGUGCCCAGUCGUGGGGGAUAACGUAGCGAAAGUUACGCUAAUACCGCAUACGAUCUACGGAUGAAAGCGGGGGACCGUAAGGCGUCGCGCGAUUGGAGCGGCCGAUGGCAGAUUAGGUAGUUGGUGAGGUAAAGGCUCACCAAGCCGACGAUCUGUAGCUGGUCUGAGAGGACGACCAGCCACACUGGGACUGAGAAACGGCCCAGACUCCUACGGGAGGCAGCAGUGGGGAAUUUUGGACAAUGGGCGCAAGCCUGAUCCAGCCAUUCCGCGUGCAGGACGAAGGCCUUCGGGUUGUAAACUGCUUUUGUACGGAACGAAAAGGCUCUGGUUAAUACCUGGGGCUCAUGACGGUACCGUAAGAAUAAGCACCGGCUAACUACGUGCCAGCCGCCGCCGUAA
RNAcentral lists this ribosomal RNA (500 nucleotides) under uncultured bacterium. RNAcentral describes it as "partial 16S ribosomal RNA". It matches the Rfam family "Bacterial small subunit ribosomal RNA", at positions 30 to 523 of the family's 1533-position model. The record is from RNAcentral.